GAUGAACGCUGACAGAAUGCUUAACACAUGCAAGUCAACUUGAACUUCGGUUUGGGUGGCGGACGGGUGAGUAACGCGUAAAGAACUUGCCUCACAGCUGGGGACAACAUUUGGAAACGAAUGCUAAUACCUGAUAUUAUGAUUAUAUGGCAUCGUAUAAUUAUGAAAGCUAUAUGCGCUGUGAGAGAGCUUUGCGUCCCAUUAGCUAGUUGGAGAGGUAACAGCUCACCAAGGCGAUGAUGGGUAGCCGGCCUGAGAGGGUGAUCGGCCACAAGGGGACUGAGACACGGCCCUUACUCCUACGGGAGGCAGCAGUGGGGAAUAUUGGACAAUGGACCGAGAGUCUGAUCCAGCAAUUCUGUGUGCACGAUGAAGUUUUUCGGAAUGUAAAGUGCUUUCAGUUGGGAAGAAAAAAAUGACGGUACCAACAGAAGAAGUGACGGCUAAAUACGUG
RNAcentral lists this ribosomal RNA (454 nucleotides) under uncultured bacterium. RNAcentral's name for it is "partial 16S ribosomal RNA". It matches the Rfam family "Bacterial small subunit ribosomal RNA", at positions 28 to 507 of the family's 1533-position model. The record is from RNAcentral.